Molecule: long non-coding RNA, 319 nt
Filed under: Helianthus annuus (common sunflower)
Lineage: Eukaryota; Viridiplantae; Streptophyta; Magnoliopsida; Asterales; Asteraceae
Description: sRNA HanXRQr2_Chr16g0775471
Source: RNAcentral
CAAUGCCCUGGUCUACAAAUCACAGAUGCUUGCAAUGACAUGACAUGGUUCCAACACCAGUACACAGUCUGAAGGCGGGGAAACCGCAUGUGGUAGUGGUUUGUGCAUCCAAUGGGCAGUGAUUGAGUCCGAUGGUGUUACAGCCAACAAGUCGACGUCAACAGUGCUCAACGACGAAGACGUCGGUCAAGCGGCUAGGGCUCCAAUCAAGUUCCGACAAGUUUCCGGUGUAGCUGCAUACUUGGAUGUUAGCAAAGGGCUAUCACAGGUGGUAGCAAAUAGUAAGGAUGCAAAUAAACCAAGAGCUUGAUGAUACUUA